RNAcentral lists this long non-coding RNA (451 nucleotides) under Olea europaea subsp. europaea. Lineage: Eukaryota; Viridiplantae; Streptophyta; Magnoliopsida; Lamiales; Oleaceae. The record is from RNAcentral.
UUAAAAGUAUCCCUUGAUUUUAUCAACAAGGAACUCGCCUGCAAAAUCAAUAAUAUAUUUCAUUUCCACAAUAACUCAAUAGCGAAGUUCAAAACUAAAAUCUAACACCGAUUCCGCUCAAAAAUAAGAUGACUUAUAGAAAGAUCCACUAAAUAUGUGUCUCAUUAGACCAGAAAACGAAAUCAUUUUCAGUAUUCAGUCACUACCACAACAAAUCCGCCACAUCCUUGAAUGGAAUCAGCAGUCGCCUGUGGGAAAUUGCAUGUGAGUAUAAUUAUAAAGAAUGCCGCAAAUAAAUAAUAAUUUAUGGCAGCCAUAGCAAUUUUUCGAUCUGAGAUAAGUACACGGAACGCAUAAAUCUCAAUUGUGCAUGGUUUUGGUAAUAUUGAAAAGUUGGCUUCAGAUUCAGUGAAGCAAUCUCCAGGGUUUAGGGGUUUCAUCUUUGUUGGUC